GAUAAACGCUAGCGGCAGGCUUAACACAUGCAAGUCGAGGGGCAGCAUAGAUUGUAGCAAUACAAUCGGUGGCGACCGGCGCACGGGUGCGUAACGCGUAUGCAACCUACCCGUCACAGGGGGAUAAUCCGGAGAAAUCUGGUCUAAUACCCCAUAACAUAUGGAUCGGCAUCGGUUCAUGUUGAGAUUUUCGGAGGUGACGGAUGGGCAUGCGUAGCAUUAGCUUGUUGGUGAGGUAAUGGCUCACCAAGGCGACGAUGCUUAGGGGGACUGAGAGGUUUUCCCCCCACACUGGUACUGAGACACGGACCAGACUCCUACGGGAGGCAGCAGUGAGGAAUAUUGGUCAAUGGGCGCAAGCCUGAACCAGCCAUGCCGCGUGCAGGAUGACGGCUCUAUGAGUUGUAAACUGCUUUUGUACGAGGGUAAAGUGGGUUACGUGUAACCUUUUGAAAGUAUCGUACGAAUAAGGAUCGGCUAACUCCGUGCCAGCCGCCGCAGUAA
Molecule: ribosomal RNA, 504 nt
Filed under: uncultured bacterium
Lineage: Bacteria
Description: partial 16S ribosomal RNA
Rfam family: Bacterial small subunit ribosomal RNA
Source: RNAcentral